UACGGAGGGUGCGAGCGUUGUCCGGAAUCACUGGGCGUAAAGGGCGCGUAGGCGGCCUGGUAAGUAGGGGGUGAAAUCCUGCGGCUUAACCGCGGGGCUGCCUUCUAAACUGUCAGGCUCGAGCACGGUAGAGGCAGAUGGAAUUCCCGGUGUAGCGGUGGAAUGCGUAGAGAUCGGGAAGAACAUCAGUGGCGAAGGCGGUCUGCUGGGCCGUUGCUGACGCUGAGGCGCGACAGCGUGGGGAGCAAACAGG
Molecule: ribosomal RNA, 253 nt
Filed under: uncultured bacterium
Lineage: Bacteria
Description: partial 16S ribosomal RNA
Rfam family: Bacterial small subunit ribosomal RNA
Source: RNAcentral